UACGUAGGGUGCGAGCGUUAAUCGGAAUUACUGGGCGUAAAGCGUGCGCAGGCGGUUCGUUAAGUCAGCUGUGAAAGCCCCGGGCUUAACCUGGGAAUGGCGGUUGAAACUGGCGAACUUGAAUCUGGCAGAGGGGGGUGGAAUUCCACGUGUAGCAGUGAAAUGCGUAGAGAUGUGGAGGAAUACCGAUGGCGAAGGCAGCCCCCUGGGAUAACACUGACGCUCAUGCACGAAAGCGUGGGGAGCAAACAGG
This 253-nucleotide ribosomal RNA is filed under the name uncultured bacterium. RNAcentral describes it as "partial 16S ribosomal RNA". It matches the Rfam family "Bacterial small subunit ribosomal RNA", at positions 524 to 776 of the family's 1533-position model. The record is from RNAcentral.